GUCCACGCUGUAAACGAUGAUCACUAGAUGUUAGACCCGUUUUAGGGUUUAGUGUCGCAGCUAACGCAUUAAGUGAUCCGCCUGGGGAAGUACGGUCGCAAGAUUAAAACUUAAAGAAAUUGACGGGGGUCGCACAAGCGGUGGAACAUGUGGUUUAAUUCGAUACUACGCGAGAACCUUACCUAGACUUGACAUGCUUUUGACCGGUGUUGAAAUACAUCUUUCUGGACUUCGGUUCAGACAAUUGCACAGGUGCUGCAUGGCUGUCGU
Molecule: ribosomal RNA, 270 nt
Filed under: uncultured bacterium
Lineage: Bacteria
Description: partial 16S ribosomal RNA
Rfam family: Bacterial small subunit ribosomal RNA
Source: RNAcentral